RNAcentral lists this long non-coding RNA (1795 nucleotides) under Scleropages formosus (Asian bonytongue). Its description in RNAcentral is "lncRNA (ENSSFOG00015026683.1)". The record is from RNAcentral. Lineage: Eukaryota; Metazoa; Chordata; Actinopteri; Osteoglossiformes; Osteoglossidae.
CGCUGAGCGCUAGUUUUUCCAUUGGCAGAACGCCGGGCGGAGGGUUUGAUUGCAAAGCACUUAAUUACUAAGAUCAGUUUGCUGGAACAUAUUGAAAAAAAAAAAAAAAACAAACAAAAAGAAUAAGUGCAAGCAAAACCGGAAAAAGCAAAGAGCCAUUUUACGGAUGCGGUCAUAUCAACAAGCACUGUCUUGAAGAGGAGGUUCAUUCGGACUCGGAGGAGGACUCGGUGGUCCCACUGUCCAUGUGGCAUCAGAGAGUGGAGCCCCUGCAGUGAUAGACAGCAUGCUGCAAAAGGGAUGUAUCUUGGGCUUAUCUUGAGAAAGGAUUGGAAAACGCAGAUGGUAUUCGGUGAGUCCCUGUGGACGACCGCCUUGUUUCCACUGGAAUUGCGGGAUGCUAACGGUGCCACAUGCAAAGAGACAGGCCCCCGCUGCGCAGCACAGAAAAGGGCCCAGAGUCGACCAGCCGAGCUAUUUUUAUUGCUCGUUUUUGAACGUGUGAAUUUGGCAGCGGCUGAUGGUCGCUCUGCUGUCAUCGGGUCUGAUGAACUGGAGACUGCAGAUGAGCGGAUUGUGACUGACAGCGUUGAUCACAGUGAGCCGAAAUCUGCAGUGUUAAGGCCAGUCCUCAUCGCUGUGUGGCACCACAUGUUUUUUUUCCUAACGGAGAUUGGAGGAUGAUGGGUUUAAGGCUGCGGUAUGAUGAACUCUGACCCAAGCCUUUUUGCAUUUUUUUCUUUUUUUAUUAUUUAUAAUGUAUAUUUUGCUCCUUGUGUGUGCAUGUGUGUGUGUGUGUGUGUGUGUGUGUUUGGUGCUGCUACCCUGUGACGGAUUGCUGUCCCCUCAAGACUGUAUCCUGACUAGUGCCCCCCCUGUUUCUGGAAUGGGCUCUGGACCACUGCGACCCUAAGCCAUUAGUGAUAGUGUGAGUAAUUGAUUUAUUUAGCUGAUGCUUUUCCCCACAGCAUCGUACAGGGUAAAGUUACUUACAGUUACUCAUUCACACACCUGGGUAAUUUCUACUGGAACAAUUCAGCUUCCUACCUUGCUUAAAGGAUGCUCUAUCAGCAUGUGGGAUCCAGCCCUGUGUCCUCCAAAUGCAAGGUGACAGCUCAACCCUGUAUGCUGCCUACUGCCACCCUGAGUCAAAUCUGUACCAAUAGCAUUUCAUGUUGGAAACUUUGCACAAAUUCAUAUGCAGAUUGUAUAUAAUUGUCUGUGCUUCAAGUUUGUCAGAGGAACAAUAAUGGCAGUAACCAAGGUGGCAAACCAAGUUUAGAUGUUACUAUAAUGCUAAAAUCCCCGCAAAAGGAUACAGUACUGUGUAACCCUGCUAUCAGUCUUUUGGUGUCUUCUGCUCUGCGAUCGGUCCAACGCAUGCCCCCCCCCCCCCCCCCAACACCACCUGUGCCGUGAAGCUGGAACUCUGAUAAGGCCCUUCCUGUCACACUCCCGUCACGCUGUCAAUCACUUCACCUAAUGAAAUCAAUCUAAUGGCUGGUGCCGGCAGACUUGCAUGGCCUGUUGCCCCCAGGGACAGACCAGCACUCAUCUCCUUGAAGACUGCCUUUCAGAGGGUGUAACCACACACGCCAGUCUCCCGUGCCUCUGUGAACCGCUUCCUCGCCAGCACUGAGCGUUUCUGCAUGGAAAUUUUCUAAUAUCGAAUACCUGAGGUAUAAAUUCAAUUUAGGAUGGCUGCAAUUUGAAAGCAAUCCCACUUUCUUUCGUCAAUGUGGGCACUAGAUUGUGGGCUCAGAGUAACACAAUAAAUGGUUUUUCCUGACGCGCA